Molecule: ribosomal RNA, 495 nt
Filed under: uncultured bacterium
Lineage: Bacteria
Description: partial 16S ribosomal RNA
Rfam family: Bacterial small subunit ribosomal RNA
Source: RNAcentral
GACGAACGCCGGCGGCGUGCCUAAUACAUGCAAGUAGAACGCUGAAGGAGGAGCUUGCUUCUCUGGAUGAGUUGCGAACGGGUGAGUAACGCGUAGGUAACCUGCCUGGUAGCGGGGGAUAACUAUUGGAAACGAUAGCUAAUACCGCAUAAUAGCAGUUGUUGCAUGACAACUGUUUGAAAGGUGCAAUUGCACCACUACCAGAUGGACCUGCGUUGUAUUAGCUAGUUGGUGGGGUAACGGCUCACCAAGGCGACGAUACAUAGCCGACCUGAGAGGGGGAUCGGCCACACUGGGACUGAGACACGGCCCAGACGCCUACGGGAGGCAGCAGGAGGGAAUCUUCGGCAAUGGACGGAAGUCUGACCGAGCAACGCCGCGUGAGUGAAGAAGGUUUUCGGAUCGUAAAGCUCUGUUGUAAGAGAAGAACGAGUGUGAGAGUGGAAAGUUCACACUGUGACGGUAUCUUACCAGAAAGGGACGGCUAACUACGUG